This 275-nucleotide signal recognition particle RNA is filed under the name Candidatus Aenigmatarchaeota archaeon. Its description in RNAcentral is "signal recognition particle sRNA". It matches the Rfam family "Archaeal signal recognition particle RNA". Lineage: Archaea; Nanobdellati; Candidatus Aenigmatarchaeota. The record is from RNAcentral.
CAAGGAACCUCUGAUCGGGAGGCCACCGGUCUCCUGUUGCCACAGAUCCGGUUUAUGGUGGGAUCACAGUUCAAGGGAGGUUCAAUGAUACAGUUAGGCCCGGGUUUCGGCCUGCGAAGCCCCGUCUCCCAGGGUCGGUUCUCUGGUGAACGAGUCAGGCGGGGAACCGAGCAGCUAUAAGUUAGGGAACUCGAUGCUUGCGAGCUCUCGGGGUGGAGAAUGAAACUCGGAUUAACCUAUCUGUAAAGUUGUUCCCACCUUGAGCAUGUUCCUUG